Molecule: long non-coding RNA, 1671 nt
Organism: Macaca fascicularis (crab-eating macaque)
Lineage: Eukaryota; Metazoa; Chordata; Mammalia; Primates; Cercopithecidae
Source: Ensembl
GUAGCCGAGAGGAGCGCGCUCCGGGGCAGGCCUCCGAGUACUUCCCGCAGAGGACCGGGCUUUAUACUGCUCCUUUUCCUCCCCUAGAUCCUGAGCAGCCAUAUAAGACAUUCAACCAGCCUGAGACCACCAUACACUGAUCACAGUCUCAAAUGAACCCAACAUUUCACCUGUGCCCGCCAGGCAGCAGACAUGCAGCUGAAGCUGUCUUGGAGCCUCUAGACCAGCCCAUCCACCUGCUGAAUACCAGUGAGUGACCUAUGUCAAAGCUACCAGAAGUGGAAUUGCCAGCUGAGUCUUGCCUAAAUUUCUGAGCCACACAAUCGUGAGAUACUAUAAAGUGAUUUAUUGGCAGAUACGUAAGCCACAUUAAGUAAUAUAAAAUGCAGUGAAUGCAUCAAACGACUCAGCAAGGACCCACUGACAGCCGGCGAGAGGCUGCCUCUUCGAAGAAGUCACUCUGAAUCAGAUACCUGUUUAUGCAUUUGUCGAACCAGGCUCUGAAUUUUUGUUUUAAAUGAAGACAUUAGUUCAAAACAAAAACGUCUCCAGCCAAACCCAUAACAUAUUGGGUGGCAGGAAGAGGGUGUACAGCCAACUUUAAAAUCUAAUCAAACGCUCAGGAUUUUGAGUGUGAACAUGCUUUGCUUCCCGUUUGGGGGGAAACACAACUUCUCGGGAGGAGAGAAGGGGCCCCCAGCAUAUUGUGUUUGAUUCUCCACAAGACAGUAGAGUAGCAUUUUGAUGAGGGAGAUGCAGACUGACCAAUAACGUCUUUUGGGAAAUUCUUACUGCCUUGAUACAGAGAAAGGAAGUACCAAUGAGGAAAUGAGUAUUGCACAGUGCUAUGUGCUAUAACCACUUGAAACAGAACUGGGAGAAUUUGUGUAAGACCUAUACCCCCAUCCUUGAUGCCAUCAAAGGCAAGGUCCCAAUGUGUCAAAGCAGAAAGAGAAUGAGUCUGGCAGUCAAGAGACCCAGUUCCUAGCUGGGGCAGCUGUGUCACCUUGGGCAACUGCCACCCUCUCCCUCGAGGUCAUGACGGGAUGCCUGGCAUCCCUUCCUGCACAAAAAUCCCUUGAUUCCUUAAACAAUGAUGUCCAAAUGAUUGAUGUAAGAGAAAUGAGAUCACAGGAUACUGGGGACACCUGAACCAGCCGUGAAUUACUUGAGAAGAUUCAGGCCCUGGCAUUAAGCCAAGCAGAAAAAUGAUGGACAUGUGGUUUCAUGGGGAACUUCUAAUUCACCUUCUUGUGACUGUUAUAUUUUACUGUUAACCAUUCCCUUUUAAAGAAAGCCUCGUGGGACUCAGAUGAAGGUACACUCCCUCCAAAAAAUGUUCUGGGUAAAUUCCACCCUACUAUGGUCUGUCCAGCCUCUGAAAAUUGACAGCCUUUUGUUUGCAUCACUUCAUACUGUCCAUGUGAACAAUUAAACAGUGUGGUUAAGGGCUCAGUUUCCAGAGUCAGAUGGCCCAAGUUUAAGUCCUGAUUCUGCCACUAUUAGCUGUGUGACCUUGGGCAAGACUCUUAACCUCCCUGAGGUUUUUCUAUUCUGUAAAAUUGGGAUGACAACAAUACUUUUGUUGACUGGAUGAUUGUGAUGAUGAUAUGAGAUCCAAUUUGUAAAGCAUUAACACAAAUGUGUCACAGAGUAAAAUUCUCAAUCUAU